UACGGGAGGCAGCAGUGGGGAAUAUUGCACAAUGGGCGCAAGCCUGAUGCAGCCAUGCCGCGUGUGUGAAGAAGGCCUUCGGGUUGUAAAGCACUUUCAGUUGUGAGGAAGGUGGUGUCGUUAAUAGCGGCAUCAUUUGACGUUAGCAACAGAAGAAGCACCGGCUAACUCCGUGCCAGCAGCCGCGGUAAUACGGAGGGUGCGAGCGUUAAUCGGAAUUACUGGGCGUAAAGCGCAUGCAGGUGGUUUGUUUAAGUCAGAUGUGAAAGCCCGGGGCUCAACCUCGGAACUGCAUUUGAAACUGGCAGACUAGAGUACUGUAGAGGGGGUAGAAUUUCAGGUGUAGCGGUGAAAAUGCGUAGAGAUCUGAAGGAAUACCGGUGGCGAAGGCGGCCCCCCUGGACAGAUACUGACACUCAGAUGCGAAAGCGUGGGGAGCAAACAGGAUUAGAUACCCUGGUAG
This 463-nucleotide ribosomal RNA is filed under the name uncultured bacterium. RNAcentral's name for it is "bacterial SSU rRNA". It matches the Rfam family "Bacterial small subunit ribosomal RNA", at positions 340 to 793 of the family's 1533-position model. The record is from RNAcentral.